RNAcentral lists this small nuclear RNA (85 nucleotides) under Moschus moschiferus (Siberian musk deer). RNAcentral's name for it is "U2 spliceosomal RNA (ENSMMSG00000014664.1)". It matches the Rfam family "U2 spliceosomal RNA". Rfam says of the family: U2 is a small nuclear RNA (snRNA) component of the spliceosome (involved in pre-mRNA splicing). Complementary binding between U2 snRNA (in an area lying towards the 5' end but 3' to hairpin I) and the branchpoint sequence (BPS) of the intron results the bulging out of an unpaired adenosine, on the BPS, which initiates a nucleophilic attack at the intronic 5' splice site, thus starting the first of two transesterification reactions that mediate splicing. Lineage: Eukaryota; Metazoa; Chordata; Mammalia; Artiodactyla; Moschidae. The record is from Rfam by way of RNAcentral.
AUCGCUUCUCGGCCUUUUGGCUAAGAUCAAGUGUAGUUUCUGUUGAGUGUGUGCCAAACGUGAGGGGCUUCCUAGGUGACCCUGU